AUGAGCAGACCACCUGUAGAUGGAGCUUCAGAGGUUAAUACUGAUACUCCAAUAUCUGAUGUGGCUAAAUCACCCAUUAUCCCUUUAACUUUGAUUGCCGAGGUUGCUUCGAGCCUUGAGAAUGUUUCAAGCCUCGAGGAUCUUGCUUCUGCAGUUCUUGCUUCACCUAAUGUGUCCAUAGAGGAGGAAGCUUUCAACACCGUCAACAAUGUUUUAUCUGAGUUGGGUUUAUCAAAAAACCCUGCUACAGCUGAGGAGGGGGCUCCCUCAGUCAAAGGUUGUGAUUCCGUUCCGGAUCCUUUGUGCUCUCUUCAGAUGUUAGAGACGCAGUCGCAGUCUGUUGAUGGCAAUGAACCUAUCACGCAACCCGAGGAUGUGCCGUUUCAGCUUCUCCUGGAGGACCAACGUAAGAGGAAGAAGCAAGAAAAUUUUGACAAGAAGAGGGCGGCCUACCUUGAGAAAGGUUCUGAUGUUCCUGGAUCUGUUCAUGCGGCUGAGCUCACUGUUGAGGAAGACAUGUCGUGUGGUAGUGAUGGCACGGUUGUCCCUGUUAAGAAGAAAAUCAAGAAGACUACUACGAGGAAGCUAGUAGUUGGUGCAGUUACUCCUCGGAGGAGCCCACAUGUUUCAAGGCAUGCAGAAGUUGUUGAAGAUGAAGGGUUAGGCCUUGGUGGUACGCCACGCCGUAGUCCUCGUGUGCUUGCCACUCCCGCGCCUACACCUUCUCCACUUGGUGCUCGUGCAUCUGGUAAGGGGAAGAAAUGCGGCGUGAAGCGCAAGGUUCCACCUGCAAAGGUCAACAAGGGUGUGAAGAAGUGUUCUCGUGUCAAUCCAGAGGACAAGGAUGAUGCUGAUUUCAAUGUUGAUGGCGAGGACGACGUCGAUGAUGAUGCUGCCGCUAAUCAGUAUCAGCUUGUGCAGCGGCCUGAGAGGAGGAAGAGAGGAGGCAAAGCGCCCGAAGAAGGUGGCCAAGGAGGAGGUAAGGCGAAACAUUUUAACAAGACGGUUCGCUGCUCACUAGGAGAGGUCAAGACGUGUGCGAAAAUGCUACAAGAUAGGCACAAGGCGAGGGUUAUCAAGGCUGGUUUUGGUUGUGUGUUUGACUUGAAGGUUGAUUCCAACAUUUCUCGUCCUUUGAUGGGCAACAUCUACACGAGGAUUGACCCUUCAACCAUGGUUUUGGACAUGGGUGAGGUGAAUAAGGGAAAGCCUGGGUAUGCUAGGAGUGACGACAUCAAGACAAAGGAUUUGCGGAAUAUCCUCGCUGAACUUGUGAAGGAUGAGACAAAGGAUGAUCUUGCUCUGCAGGUGUUUUACCUUAUUGUUUUCAUGAAGGUGGUUAUCCCUGGAACGUCUACACGAGUGUCCAGGGAGGCAGCAAUUGCCGAGAACCUUGUGUUUGAGGAUAUGGCAGACAUGGACUACUGCCAGUUGGUUGUUGAAGAUAUUCGGAGUGCUGUUGUUAGGUAUCAGCAAGGUACUAGCAGAGGAAAAGCUGUUACAGGCUGUGCCAUCGCGCCGCUUCUUAUGUAUCUGGACUGCCUUAUCAUUGGCAAGAUGCCUAGUAUUGACUUGAGGACCCCUCGCAUCAAUUUCAUGGAUCGGGCCAAGCUUCUUGAGCUUGCUGCGGCUGACUUGGUCACGAAAGGUGAUGAUGACCCAGCCAACUGGGUGUUUGGGAGACUGCCUUGGAAGACACAGGAUGAGGUUGUGUUCUUUAGGGUUAUCGAACGUCAUGUUCUAACUAUGCCUCAUCCAGGAGGUUCUUCUGCCCGUGUGAGUGCUGCAGGUGGAGUUUCUUGGGAGGAUUUGUUUGAAGCUGCCAAUGUUUCUCUGGUUAGGAUUAACAGUCUUCUUGAAACUGUUUGUGGGGAGUUGGCUCGUGUUCCUUCAACUGCUGAGCGUCUUAGUCGCGUUUAUGGGAUUCUUCCUCCCGGGCACGGGUUUGAUGCUGAGUCUUCGAAGGAGGUCUUAUGUAUUGAAGCUAAAUUUCUUGAAGAGCUUCGUCAGAGAACUUCCCACCUCCGGACUAGCGUCGGGCUGUUCAAGGAAAUGCAGGAUGCUCGUUGCAAGCCUUUUGAAGAUGAGGCAAGUGUUGUUGUGAGACAGAUUCAGAGGCAGGAUUCUGUUCGUUCGGGUCGUGAAGGAGGCCACGUAGAGCAUACCAAAGAGGAUGUUCAUGAUGAUGCUAGGGUUGAGGAGGAUGUUUUACCUGCGCAUGAAGCUGCUCCUGUGCAUGAGGCUGCCCCUAUGCAUGAACCUGCUCCUGCUAGUGGCAUAAUAGUUGAUGAGGUUCAUGGCAGUGAAAAUGAGCAGCAGAAUGAUGAUGUUAGUGUUCCUCCAGAGAAGGUUGUAGACAUGUCCGUCUCAAGCACCGGCUGCUCCGACGGGGUGGUCCUGACUGAACCUCAGUCGUCCAUUGUCGCCGAGGUUUCAAAUGCUGAGCAUGGCAAGACAACUGGAGACAUCAUUUUGGAGAAAGAUGCUGUUGAGUCUACUGUUGAAACUGGUGGUAGUGCUGCUGCAAGCCCGGAGAAGUCUCCUGCAGCAGAGCCAUCAGUUGAUGUUAAUGCUGUACAGGCACAACCAAAAGUUUUUCUUGUUUCAGAUUCUCCAGCUGCUCUAGUUGUUGCUGGUGUCCUUCCUGACGACGCUGCAACGUCUGCUGGAGAUGACGAUGAAGAUACCGAAAGUGAUAGCUAUGGAGAGGAGGACAAGAUUUUCAGAGGUCAAUUUGAUUCCCGUGUGAGGAAGUACUUCAUGGCGAGUGGUCCAGAUAGCAUGGAUGCACAUGAUUUGGUUGUUUUCCCUACAUUUUACCCGCCUGAGCUUCCUGCUUCCAUGGGUGGUGUCGGUCAUUGGGUGUCGGUGUUCCUUGACCUGAAGAAUUCAAGGUUCCAGCUUCUCGAUUCCUACUCUGGACCAAAAUAUGAAUGUGCGACGUGGAUGUACUCAAUCGCUUCUUCUAACCUAUUUGAGACAGACUUCCAAGCUCUGUUUGGCUACUACACAUUGGAUCCGUUGGAGUUGACCGAUUACCACUACUCAUUCCUCGGGUCACAGGAAUACCAGCCUAGGGAGGAGCCGAUGAGUACAGCUCCGAUAGAAGAUGAUAGACCUCGGACCCUCAUUCCUUCCAAGUUGGGGAAGCAGGCUAGUGGUAUUUGUGGUACUCCAAAAACCCCGUGCUACAGGAAGGCUGAUGCAGUCGAAGCAGCCGAAGCAGAAGUGAUUUCGUCCGAUGAUGAUUUUGAGAAGAUUGCUUACCCGAAGAAUGCUAAAUGUGCUGCUCGUACUGUUUCUAGUAGAGGUGGGAAGAAUGUUGUCAUCACCAGGAGGAAACCGGCAGUUGAGUCUGGGAACAUAACUUCCUCCAAGAGAGCAUCUAGAUUGCCUUUGAAGUGGCGUUCUCCUGUCGCUCCCCUGAAAAAAUACAGUUACCCUCAUCUAUCCGAGGCCCGGAAGUUGAAACAGUAUGUGCUGAGUAAAGACGGUCUGGAGAAGUAUUCUGAGACAAGCUACUACAUGUUUACCAUCCCUGCGAAUGUGAUUGACCUCACAGGAUGUGUCCUUUAUACGCUUUUCGGUGAAGGGCGGCAGAUGGAAGGAGACAUAAUGGAUUAUCUCAUAAAUUUGUGGAAGGAUAAGCCGGAGACCUCUGAGAUAUUCACUAGUGCUAACAGGGUUGUACUUAGUCCCUACUUCAUACAGUACUGCCUGGAGUAUGAUUUCUACGCCGCAACAGUUCCAAAGUUUGAUGCAAAAAAAAUGCUGGUCUCCUCCCAAUAUUUGUUCACAAGGAAGAAGACCUUCUUAACGCAAAGCUGAUAUCGUGGGAGCAUUGACAUCCUUGAUUCACUUUCUUAUGAUAAUAUGGAAACGUCGCGAUCGAGUUUCCACGGGGACUGCCAAAAUAUCAUGAAGAGAUUUGUUGGGUUGCUCGAGGAGGUGUACGGCAAGGCUGCAUACAAGGCGAGCAAGCAGCCUAACUGGGUGACUAUUGCAAAGAGGCCGACUUUCAUCGAUGUUCUGAAGUAG
This 4038-nucleotide ribosomal RNA is filed under the name Triticum aestivum (bread wheat). RNAcentral's name for it is "partial small subunit ribosomal RNA". The record is from RNAcentral. Lineage: Eukaryota; Viridiplantae; Streptophyta; Magnoliopsida; Poales; Poaceae.